AACUAUAAUCGUCCUAAGGUAGCGAAAUUCCUUGUCGGGUAAGUUCCGACCUGCACGAAUGGCGCAACAACUUGGGGACUGUCUCAACGAGGGACUCGGCGAAAUUGCAUGGCGAGUAAAGAUGCUCGCUACCCACAGCCGGACGAAAAGACCCCGUGAAGCUUUACUAUAGCUUGAUAUUGUGUUUCGGUUUGUUAUGUUCAGUAUAGGUGGGACCCCGCAGUAAUGCGGGGGCCAGUGAGAUACCACCCUUAACAUGUUGAAAUACUUACCUCCUUCCGUUAUCCGGAAAAGGGACAGUAUCUGGCGGGUAGUUUGUCUGGGGCGGAUGCCUCCUAAAAAGUAACGGAGGCGUUUACAAAGGUUGGCUAUCCCGGAAUGGAAACCCGGGAGAUAGUGUAAAGGCACAAGCCAGCUUUACUGCGAGACGUACAUGUCGAGCAGUCGCGAAAGCGGAACUUAGUGAUCCGACCGUCCAAUAUAGGAUGGCGGAAGCUCAUCGGAUAAAAGUUACUCCGGGGAUAACAGGCUAGUCUUGCCCAAGAGUUCAUAUCGACGGCAAGGUUCGGCACCUCGAUGUCGGCUCGUCGCAUCCUGGAGGGGUAGCACCUUCCAAGGGUUUGGCUGUUCGCCAAUUAAAGCGGCACGCGAGCUGGGUUCAGACCGUCGUAAGACAGGUCGGUCUCCUAUCCGCUGUGGGCGUAGAAACUUGAAAAGGCACUUCCCCUAGUACGAGAGGACCGGGAAGUACAAACCUCUAGUGUGCCAGUUGCCCUACCAAGGUCAUUGCUGGGUAGCUACGUUUGGUUAGGAUAAGCGCUGAAGGCAUAUAAGCGCGAAGCCGUCUUUAAGAUUAGGUUUCAUAGGUUCGUCGGAGACUACGACGUUGAUAGGCCCUAGGUGUAAGCCCCGUGAGGGGUUCAGCCGAGGGGUACUAAUAAACCAUUU
RNAcentral lists this ribosomal RNA (948 nucleotides) under Candidatus Falkowbacteria bacterium CG10_big_fil_rev_8_21_14_0_10_43_10. Its description in RNAcentral is "bacterial LSU rRNA". It matches the Rfam family "Bacterial large subunit ribosomal RNA", at positions 1938 to 2913 of the family's 2925-position model. The record is from RNAcentral. Lineage: Bacteria; Candidatus Falkowiibacteriota.